CCCCUCUCAGAGUCGCACAUGGAGAGUGUUCAGUACUCUACCAAUCUCGGCUACAGGAGGGAGAGUCAAACAGAGGCAUACCCAUUCCAUUCUUAGCUUGGACGGUGGCUAGCAAGUGGAAGGCAAUCUGUUACAAGU
Tachyglossus aculeatus (Australian echidna) is the source of this 138-nucleotide small nucleolar RNA. NCBI's taxonomy places the organism in Eukaryota, Metazoa, Chordata, Mammalia, Monotremata, Tachyglossidae. The record is from RefSeq and is a predicted model, not a curated record.